Molecule: transfer RNA, 72 nt
Filed under: Euglena mutabilis
Lineage: Eukaryota; Euglenozoa; Euglenophyceae; Euglenales; Euglenaceae
Description: tRNA-Asn
Rfam family: tRNA
About the family: Transfer RNA (tRNA) molecules are approximately 80 nucleotides in length. Their secondary structure includes four short double-helical elements and three loops (D, anti-codon, and T loops). Further hydrogen bonds mediate the characteristic L-shaped molecular structure. tRNAs have two regions of fundamental functional importance: the anti-codon, which is responsible for specific mRNA codon recognition, and the 3' end, to which the tRNAs corresponding amino acid is attached (by aminoacyl-tRNA synthetases). tRNAs cope with the degeneracy of the genetic code in two manners: having more than one tRNA (with a specific anti-codon) for a particular amino acid; and 'wobble' base-pairing, i.e. permitting non-standard base-pairing at the 3rd anti-codon position.
Source: RNAcentral
UCCUCAAUAGCUCAAAGGUAGAGCAAUCGGCUGUUAACCGAUUGGUCGUAGGUUCGAAUCCUACUUGGGGAG